GCAAACCACACAACUAAGAGUGGAUCGGAAG
This 31-nucleotide non-coding RNA is filed under the name Mus musculus (house mouse). Lineage: Eukaryota; Metazoa; Chordata; Mammalia; Rodentia; Muridae. The record is from RNAcentral.